CAUAAUUUCUUUUUAUUAUUAUAAUUUUUUUAUCUUUUAGUCUCUCUGUCUGAUUGACCUAUGACCCCCUCAGUGUAGUCUUGUCUACUGUGCAUAGUGGCCCGUGGGAGAGUAGACACUUGCAAAACUGUCUCUUGCUUCCUGGUUGUGUCCUUGACGUGCAUUUCCAACUCACCAUCUCCAACCCAACGGGAUUUCAUUUACAUAGUGAAUCAUACAGAGGUAGUUACCUUUUUAAAUGUUCAAGUAAAUGUUAGUUUUUCUAAUUCUAAACAUUCAGUUUGAAUAAUCCAAAUGUAAUGUUCAUGGGGAGCUAACAUGUCCGCCAUAGAAAUGGCAUGUGAAGGCAUCAGGGCAGAAACCACGUUGGCCAAACUCUAAGUCUUUAUGCAGGAAGGGUGUUUCACCCAUCCACCAACGAACCAUCAGGGGACAGGAACAGGUACACAGUUUGUGGAGCAAAAAGUAGUAUGCUUUCCCACAGCGGCCAUUUUGGAUAGUGGUUAAUUGCCAAUAUGUACCUGUUUUAAUGGGAACAGCACCUACCCUGCUGCACACAUACCUCAUCAAGCGCCAGACCUCUGGGUUGUUUUGCCAAAAUGCCUGGACCUAGUCAUUACCCCCACUACUUAAUAUCCACUUUGCCCAGAGGCUACUGGCUCAUCGAAGGGCUCCCUAUUCCCUGUUUAGUGUACUACUUUGGACUAAGAGAUGCUAAAGGUUGGCCACAGAAGGCUCUGGUGAGUACUGUACUAAACAGGGAAUAAGGUGUCAAUCUCCAGAAUCAUCCAAAGACCCCCUGUUGCCUCUGUAGUACACCAUCCAGGUUAGCCUCAGAACGUAAGGUGUAACCAGGCACUAUGUAGUACACCAUCCAGGUUAGCCUCAGAACGUAAGGUGUAACCAGGCACUGUGUAGUACACCAUCCAGGUUAGCCUCAG
Long non-coding RNA from Esox lucius (northern pike), 941 nucleotides. Lineage: Eukaryota; Metazoa; Chordata; Actinopteri; Esociformes; Esocidae. The record is from Ensembl.